GGGGGUAGCGGGGUGCUGGUGUGCCUUCUGAUCUUCAAAAUCAGCGUAGGUGAUUAAGAGUUGCCUAGGUGGGUUCGAUUCCCACAUGCCCUCGCCA
This 97-nucleotide transfer RNA is filed under the name Bacillota bacterium. RNAcentral describes it as "tRNA-Sec". It matches the Rfam family "Selenocysteine transfer RNA". The record is from RNAcentral. Lineage: Bacteria; Bacillati; Bacillota.